This is a non-coding RNA of Podarcis lilfordi (Lilford's wall lizard), 6483 nucleotides long. NCBI's taxonomy places the organism in Eukaryota, Metazoa, Chordata, Lepidosauria, Squamata, Lacertidae. The record is from the annotation of a GenBank genome assembly.
GCCAUUGGAAGCAUAGUGCUCCCCGGCUCCUACUUCCAUGUUUAUUUUUAUUUAUUUAUUUUUUUUGCUGCUUUCAAGACCAGGCCAGGCCAUCUAUAAUUGUUAUUUGUAAGCCGUCUUGAUUUAGGGAAGGAGGUAAGACAUCUUUAUUUUCCCUUUUUUAUUUUCAUGUAUUAUUUUAUACGCUGAUAAAAGGUAAAGGGACCCCUGACCAUUAGGUCCAGUUGUGACCGACUCUGAGGUUGCAGUGCUCAUCUCGCUUUACUGGCUGAGGGAGCUGGCGUUUGUCCGCAGACAGCUUCCGGGUCAUAUGGCCAGCAUGACUAAGCCACUUCUGGCAAACCAGAGCAGUGCACGGAAACGCCGUUUACAUUCCCUCCGAAGUGGUACCUAUUUAUCUACUUGCACUUUGACAUGCUUUCGAACUGCUAGGUUGGCAGGAGCUGGGACCGAGCAACGGGAGCUCACCCCGUUGCGGGGAUUCUAACCGCCGACCUUCUGAUCGGCAAGUCCUAGGCUCUGUGGUUUAACCAACAGCGCCACCCGCGUCCCUUUUACCCUUUUUUUAAGGUAUACGCUGAUACCUUAUCUUUAAUGUCGGUCCUUGUAAACAGCCCUGGAAAUAUCACUGCUCUAGUGGCAUGGUACUUAUAUAGUAGAUAUAUUAAUAUGCAAAUAAUAAUAAUUAAUAAUUUCUUAUUGCUGCUGAAAGGAAUCCAAGUUGGAUGGGGCAAUAAACACAAUUUUUACCUUUGUGCAGUAGGCUAGUUCCUUCACACAUUCAUUCCGCCCACCAUCUAAGCAAGCACGACACAAAUUUAUCAGUGCUCAAGGACAAAUUCCAGCCAGGCAAGAACACCCAAGGAAGGUACAAAUCAGGGCUGCUGAGGGGUGCAGCUCAAGAAGGUGUGCGGCCUGAGGAAAGGGUUAAGACUUUUGAGAGCAGCAUUUGGGCACUGGGCGUCAGGUUCCCCGUCUCUGAUAUACACCCUUGACUGCAAGCCCCAUUGAACUCAGUGGGGCUUAUUUUAAUUUUAAGAAUUGAUUUUUUAUUAAGUUUCAAAAAUUUUAACAGAUUUACUUCACAGACAGUAUACCAUUUGCAUAUAUUUUUCUUUUUUACUUCCCACCCUUCCCUCACUGAUGCUUUUGCUUUUAUCCUUGGUUGCUGCAUUAUUGUUGUUGUUGAUAUUUAGUCGUUUAGUCGUGUCUGACUCUUCGUGACCCCAUGGAUCAGAGCAUGCCAGGCACUCCUGUCUUCCACUGCCUCCCGCAGUUUGGUCAAACUCAUGCUGGUAGCUUCAAGAACACUAUCCAACCAUCUCAUCCUCUGUCGUCCCCUUCUCCUUGUGCCCUCAAUCUUUCCCAACACCAGGGUCUUUUCCAGGGAGUCUUCUCUUCUCAUGAGGUGGCCAAAGUAUUAGAGCCUCAGCUUCAGGAUCUGUCCUUCCAGUGAGCACUCAGGGCUGAUUUCCUUCAGAAUGGAUAGGUUUGAUCUUCUUGCAGUCCAUGGGACUCUCAAGAGUCUCCUCCAGCACCAUAAUUCAAAAGCAUCAAUUCUUUGGCGAUCAGCCUUCUUUAUGGUCCAGCUCUCACUUCCAUACAUGACUACUGGGAGAACCAUAGCUAACUAUACGGACCUUUGUUGGCAAGGUGAUGUCUCUGCUUUUUAAGAUGCUGUCUAGGCUUGUCAUUGCUUUCCUCCCAAGAAGCAGGCGUCUUUUAAUUUUGUGACUGCUGUCACCAUCUGCAGUGAUCAUGGAUCAUUAUACUUGUUACCAAACCCUCAGUGGGGCUUAUUUCUGUGUAGGCAAUGCAUUGGAUUGUGCUGCAAGACUGCAGCCCUAAACCCACUUAUGUGGGACUUACUGUAAAGCUCAGUGUGACUUACUUCAGAGUAGGCAUGCGCAGGCUGGCUCUGUAAGUGUCAUGGCUCUUUCCAAAGAACCCUGGGAGAGGCAGUUUGAGAAUUUUAUUACAGAUCCCUAGGCAGCCCCUCAGCGAGCAGCUGUUCCCAGCAUUCCCUUGGGAAACUGAAUGACUGUUAAACCAGUUUAAAGGUGUAGAACAAAUAUGCUGGGUUCCAUUUUGCCACACAAAGUAACUAUCAAAUACCAGGCAGUAAAAUGGCACCAGGGUUUGGGGGCACUGCUUUGGGUACUGGGGCUAAAUCCUUCUAAGUUUUCUAAGAAAAGCUGACCUACAUGGAACACAGUCUUGCAAGUUUCCUCCUUUGUUUCUCCCUGUCUCAUAAACAUUUCCUUUUCUGGAAGACUUAACACCACAGUCACAAUGAAGGGGCGGGCUGUGUCACAUGCUGCUUGCUUCUUGGCGGUAUAUAUGGGAAACUGUUCCAGCCUCCUCUGGUUUAUGGGCUUUGGCUCUCUGGCCCUGCCAAGUAAUAAGCUGCUGGCCUGGGAGCUUCUGGGUGGACAGCUGCUAUGCAAGAUCAUGUCUGUUCAUCAUGGUGUGAAAGCAGAGGGGUGAGGCCUGGAAAGCUCGUGCUUAAAAGGGAGGGUUAAGAGGGUACGGAGAAGGUUCUUCCUGACUUUUUAAGUGGGAACUGCCUGAAGGAUAACUAAUUAGGCCAAGUGGGGUCUGAAGGACACGUCGUCCUGAAUGACGUCAAGAUGGGAUCCAGAUAUUUUCAUGCAAUCUUCUUUUCCUCAAAGGCCUGGGAAGCACCAAGGCCUUAAGGACUUCUGAGUCAGACUCAUUGGUCACGGGAACACUAACGUACACAGAAAAUAUAAAGAAGAAGAGUGAUGCAUACCCAGAGCAGAUUGACAUGGUUAAAAAUAAAAACAUGAAUGUUUUGAGGAUGACAUGAUUGUAUGUUGUGUUACGAUGUUAAAGGAAGAGCUACAAAGAGUAAAUCAUUCAGUGUUUGACCUGUGUGGGAUAGCGAUCUGUUCUCCUGCAACAGAAAUGAUAUAUUUAUCAGAGUUUUUUUUUUGGGGGGGGGGUUAUAGGGCCAUAUUUGAGGGAGGAAGUGCUAUUGCACAUGAAUUUGUUGUCAUGGAAGGCUUGGAAGCUUUUACAUCCAAAUUUCUUCCUGGAUUUUGGAGUUCCUGGAGUUAUCUGGGCAGGCAUCGGUAUGCAUCCUGCACUAUCCUUUAUCCUCCAGACAAACUAUUUAGCAUUCAUUCUGAUUUGCUUUCAUGAGGCUUGUGUUAGACUAUGUCCGAUCUUUAUUGAACAUUUCUUCUGAUACACUUAUGAGGUGCUCACAUGACAAUGAGAAUUCGUCCUGAUAUGCUUGCAGGCUGCUGAUCACUUAUUCCUAUUAAUCAUUCAUUCAUCAAAUACUUUUAAAUUCGUUUCCAUGUCACCUGCCAAAAAAGAUGAAUUUCAGAGAUGAAUUUCGGUGUUUGUUUACUUUGGUGGCAGAGUGCAAUACAGUGGUAUUUAAUAUGUUCUGGAGGUCCGUUCUUAACCUGAAACUGUUCUUAACCUGAAGCACCACUUUAGCUAAUGGGGCCUCCCACUGCCGCCGUGCCGCUGCUGCGCGAUUUCUGUUCUCAUCUUGAAGCAAAGUUCUUAACCCGAGGUACUAAUUCUGGGUUAGCUGAGUCUGUAACCUGAAGCGUCUGUACCCCGAGGUACCACUGCAUGUGCUUGAUUGUCUUUUGCAAAGUACUGACUGUCAAAGUACAGCCACCCCAAGACAAUCACAAUGCCUUGGCUCUGGGUUAUUUUAAAAGCUUGGACUAUCCACACUUAACAAAAACAUAUACUUGGCCAUGUUACACCCGUGUUUUGAUACGUAUUUUUGAAAAAUAACAUGUAUGGUGAAACUCACUUUAGAAGCAGUCCUCGAUAGACUGACUUUAACUAGAUAAUCAAGUUCCACAUUUAGGUUUGAGAGUAUUUUGUUCCUUAAAGAAAGCCAGAAUGAGAAAGUUAAUGUAUUCCAUGAGGUAUAUACAUGUACAUUUAGAAAUGCCUGGGCAAACUGGACUGAGUCAAACACAUAAUAAGGGUGAGGUUUGUGGUGUGUAAUUAUAGACUUCUUUGGCUGUGUAAAACUCUCAGACACUGAAGACUAAUGGCUCACAAGACAUCCCAUUAAAUGUAUUGUACUUGUGUGCAAACACUGCAGAACAUCCCCUGCCCAGCUAUUCAGCUUCCAUGUAGUAGGGGGCAGAGGGAGAUAGCUCCCUUUGGCAAAAACGAAAAUUCUCUAUGCCAGGGUUAUCCAACCUGGUGCCCUCUGUGUGUUGUUGAACUCCAACUCCCAUCCAGGCCAACCCAUCAUGGACAUGGUAGAGUUCCCCUCAUCAGUUCUCCUCUCCGUACCACCCUAACCACCACCACCCAAAGGCAAAAAUAUCAGGGCACAGUUAUGACUACAGCCUCAGAUUUACAUGGGUGUAAAUCCCACUGAGCUGUCAGUAGACUCCACAGGAUUCUGCUGUUGCAUUAAGAAUUUUACUGUGUAGUAAAAUUGUGUACAAUGCAAAGGGAAAAGGGCCUCAUUGUUUCCCCACGAGUUGCCAAAUUGCCUUCUAAAUUUGCAGGUCUCAAAUUUAUUUAUUUAAUUUCUAUACCGCUUUAUGAUUUUAAGAAAAAUCUCAAAGCAGUUUACAGUAUAUUAAAUCAGUUAAACAAUGCGAAGAAAGUCAAAUAUAGCGUAUACAGUCAAAGCAACAUAACAGAAUACUAAAAUAUUAUCUUAAAGAUUUCAAAAUAAAACAAAUGCAGUGGUGGCGAUGCAGUGAGGAAGGGAUUUUGCCUCAACACUAAUGUUAAUUAAUUUUGUUCUUUAUAAUUAUUGCGCUCCUUCGUAAAUCACUGUCUUGCCGUGGCGAAGGGGCUUGAAUAACUCAGAGAAGCUAUGAGCUAUGCUGUGCAGGGCCACCCAAGAUGGACAGGUCAUAGCAGAGAGUUUUGACCAAACGUGAUCCACCUGGAGUAGGACUCGGUAAGCCACUCCAGUAUCCCUGCCAAGAAAACUCCAUGGACAAAGAAAACAGGCAUAUAAAAGUUAUGAUGCUGGAAGAUGAGCCCCUCAGGUCGGAAGGCGUCCAACAUGCUACUGAGGAAGAGCGGAGGACAAGUACAAGUAGAUUCAGAGCUGAUGAAGCGGCUGGGCCAAAGCCGAAAGGUCGCUCAGUUGCAGAUAUGCCUGGAAGCGAAAGGAAAGUCCAAUGCUGUAAAGAAAAAUAUUGCAUAGGAACCUGGAAUGUAAGAACCAUGGACCUUGGUAAGAGAAGACUCCCUGGAAAAGACCCUAAUGUUGGGAAAGAUUGAGGGCACAAGGGGACGACAAAGGAUGAGAUGGUUGGAUAGUGUUCUUGAAGCUACCAGCAUGAGUUUGACUAAAACUGUGGGAGGCAGUGGAAGACAGGAGUGCCUGGCAUGCUCUGGUCCAUGGGGUCACGAAGAGUCAGACACGACUAAACGACUAAACAACCAUGACAUAAUUAUUAUGCUUUGUGGGCUAUUGAAAGAGAAGGCAAUUGAGGGGCAAUGCUAGAGAAUGAGAGACUAUUUGCUGAAAUGUACCGAAACUGGGUAAGCAGUUCUCAGCACUGCUGAAAAUGUUCAUUUAAAAACUGAAUAGUUUUAUCUCAGAUGAGAUGAAAACACUAUAUCUAAUCUCUGUAGUUGAUUAUCACCCACUCAGUGCUCACCUGAUGGUCGGAGCAUCCUGUUCUAUGGGGUCUUGCUGAUAGUGAUCAAAGGCUAUGCCCAUAUGCCAGAGCCAAAUGUGUACACCAAAUUCUCUUGGGGGUGUUGACCUCCAAUGAGCCAUAUUCAGAAGUAUUACUUGGUAAGGCACGCUAUAGACACAGAUCUGGGAUUACAUUAUCUUUUUGUUGUGCUGCCUUUUUCUGCAGGACUAUACAAAGUCCUCUUAGAUCAAGGAUGACACACAGCCCUCAGUGAAAUCUCAUGCAGCCCUUGGCUUAAUGUUGAAAGACCUCUGCUAUCACCUAGUUCAGACUUUUUGGAAGAGUGAUCAACCAUCUCCUGGCAGUCCACUUCACAACAAGUAGGAGAGAGAGCAGGGCCGGAUUUAGGUUUGAUGAGGCCCUAAGCUACUGAAGGUAAAGGGGCCCUUUAUAUGUUUAGCUGUCCUUUGUCAACAACAAAUUGUUGCUGUUUUUUGUGUUGAAUAUAUGCUAUAUGGUAAUCUAUGGACCUAAUAGGUAUCUAAAGCCAUUUUAUUUGUUUUUUAUCUUAUAUUUUUGAAAUGUACAUCCAGGUUUUUUUUCUUUAAAUUUUUUGGGGGCCCCCAAAAGAGUGGGGCCCUAAGUUAUAGCUUGUUUAGCUUAUAUGUAAAUUCGGCCUGGGAGAGAGAGAAUGGGGUGGCUGCCUGUGCCCACUUUUUUGACUCUGACCCUAUGCACCCCCAGCAUGUAGACCCCAACAGAUGACAUCGCAGGAAAUUUUGCCUUCUCCAGGUAGUAAUGGUUGCCUAUCCCUUUCGUAGAUCACUGACACACAGAACAUCAAAGCAUUUGGUAUAACUUUGAG